GACGAACGCUGGCGGCGUGCUUAACACAUGCAAGUCGAACGGAAAGGCCCUGCUUUUGUGGGGUGCUCGAGUGGCGAACGGGUGAGUAACACGUGAGUAACCUGCCCUUGACUUUGGGAUAACUUCAGGAAACUGGGGCUAAUACCGGAUAGGAGCUCCUGCUGCAUGGUGGGGGUUGGAAAGUUUCGGCGGUUGGGGAUGGACUCGCGGCUUUCAGCUUGUUGGUGGGGUAGUGGCUUACCAAGGCUUUGACGGGUAGCCGGCCUGAGAGGGUGACCGGCCACAUUGGGACUGAGAUACGGCCCAGACUCCUACGGGAGGCAGCAGUGGGGAAUAUUGCACAAUGGGCGGAAGCCUGAUGCAGCAACGCCGCGUGCGGGAUGACGGCCUUCGGGUUGUAAACCGCUUUCGCCUGUGACGAAGCGUGAGUGACGGUAAUGGGUAAAGAAGCACCAGCUAACUACGUG
Molecule: ribosomal RNA, 467 nt
Filed under: uncultured bacterium
Lineage: Bacteria
Description: partial 16S ribosomal RNA
Rfam family: Bacterial small subunit ribosomal RNA
Source: RNAcentral